Molecule: ribosomal RNA, 1038 nt
Filed under: uncultured bacterium
Lineage: Bacteria
Description: bacterial SSU rRNA
Rfam family: Bacterial small subunit ribosomal RNA
Source: RNAcentral
GCGACACGGUCCAAACUCCUACGGGAGGCAGCAGUGAGGAAUAUUGGUCAAUGGCCGGAAGGCUGAACCAGCCAAGUAGCGUGCAGGAUGACUGCCUUAUGGGUUGUAAACUGCUUUUAUACGGGAGCAAUAAGGGUUACGAGUAAUCCGAUGAGAGUACUGUAUGAAUAAGGAUCGGCUAACUCCGUGCCAGCAGCCGCGGUAAUACGGAGGAUCCGAGCGUUAUCCGGAAUUAUUGGGUUUAAAGGGUGCGUAGGCGGCCAUUUAAGUCAGCGGUGAAAUUUUGCAGCUUAACUGUAACAGUGCCGUUGAUACUGUUUGGCUAGGAUUUGGUUGUAGUGUGCGGAAUGUGUGGUGUAGCGGUGAAAUGCUUAGAUAUCACACAGAACACCGAUUGCGAAGGCAGCACACUAAGUCAUUAUUGACGCUGAGGCACAAAAGUGUGGGGAUCAAACAGGAUUAGAUACCCUGGUAGUCCACACUGUAAACGAUGAUAACUCGCUGUCGGCGAUACACAGUCGGUGGGCAAGCGAAAGCAAUAAGUUAUCCACCUGGGGAGUACGACCGCAAGGUUGAAACUCAAAGGAAUAGACGGGGGCCCGCACAAGCGGAGGAACAUGUGGUUUAAUUUGAUGAUACGCGAGGAACCUUACCCGGGCUCGAACGGUGCAUGAAUAUACGAGAGAUAGUAUAGUCCUUCGGGACAUGUAUCGAGGUGGUGCAUGGUUGUCGUCAGCUCGUGCCGUGAGGUGUCGGCUUAAGUGCCAUAACGAGCGCAACCCUCGUCGCUAGUUGCCAUCAGGUUAAGCUGGGGAGUUUAGCGAGACUGCCUUCGUAAGAUGUGAGGAAGGGGGGGAGGACGUCAAAUCAGCACGGCCCUUACGUCUGGGGGGACACACGUGUUACAAUGGUUGGUACAGAGGGUUGCAUGCUGGUGACAGUUUGCCAAUCUCUAAAUCCAAUCUCAGUUCGGAUUGGAGUGUGCAACUCGACUCCAUGAAGUUGGAUUCGCUAGUAAUCGCACAUCAGCCAUGGUGC